RNAcentral lists this ribosomal RNA (468 nucleotides) under uncultured bacterium. RNAcentral describes it as "partial 16S ribosomal RNA". It matches the Rfam family "Bacterial small subunit ribosomal RNA", at positions 28 to 507 of the family's 1533-position model. The record is from RNAcentral.
GACGAACGCUGGCGGCGUGCUUAACACAUGCAAGUCGAACGGAAAGGCCCUGCUUUUGUGGGGUGCUCGAGUGGCGAACGGGUGAGUAACACGUGAGUAACCUGCCCUUGACUUUGGGAUAACUUCAGGAAACUGGGGCUAAUACCGGAUAGGAGCUCCUGCUGCAUGGUGGGGGUUGGAAAGUUUCGGCGGUUGGGGAUGGACUCGCGGCUUAUCAGCUUGUUGGUGGGGUAGUGGCUUACCAAGGCUUUGACGGGUAGCCGGCUUGAGAGGGUGACCGGCCACAUUGGGGCUGAGAUACGGCCCAGACUCCUACGGGAGGCAGCAGUGGGGAAUAUUGCACAAUGGGCGGAAGCCUGAUGCAGCAACGCCGCGUGCGGGAUGACGGCCUUCGGGUUGUAAACCGCUUUCGCCUGUGACGAAGCGUGAGUGACGGUAAUGGGUAAAGAAGCACCGGCUAACUACGUG